Molecule: transfer RNA, 76 nt
Filed under: Cryptactites peringueyi
Lineage: Eukaryota; Metazoa; Chordata; Lepidosauria; Squamata; Gekkonidae
Description: tRNA-Trp
Source: RNAcentral
AGGAAUUUAGGUUAAUACAAUUAAACCAAGGACCUUCAAAGUCCUAAAUAGGACGAAACCCCCUUCCUAAUUCCUG